AUUACCUGGUGCCGGGCUCGACUCUGGUCCAGGAGCUGCCGGGACUGAAGUUUUUGUUGUUCAAGUUGCUGCAGGGCAAAUUGAAGCUGAUAGCUGCCUGCUGUGGGGUGAUACUUGUGCUGGGGGACCACCCCUGUAGCCUGGCUGUACACGUUGUUUUCUACUUCUCCUUCCCAGGCAAAUCCCCCUGUCUGCAGGCUCCUGAAGAG
RNAcentral lists this long non-coding RNA (209 nucleotides) under Homo sapiens (human). RNAcentral describes it as "HSALNT0213316". Lineage: Eukaryota; Metazoa; Chordata; Mammalia; Primates; Hominidae. The record is from RNAcentral.